This 438-nucleotide ribosomal RNA is filed under the name Neobacillus drentensis. Its description in RNAcentral is "bacterial SSU rRNA". It matches the Rfam family "Bacterial small subunit ribosomal RNA", at positions 928 to 1365 of the family's 1533-position model. The record is from RNAcentral. Lineage: Bacteria; Bacillati; Bacillota; Bacilli; Caryophanales; Bacillaceae.
AGCGGUGGAGCAUGUGGUUUAAUUCGAAGCAACGCGAAGAACCUUACCAGGUCUUGACAUCCUCUGACAAUCCUAGAGAUAGGACGUUCCCCUUCGGGGGACAGAGUGACAGGUGGUGCAUGGUUGUCGUCAGCUCGUGUCGUGAGAUGUUGGGUUAAGUCCCGCAACGAGCGCAACCCUUGAUCUUANUUGCCAGCAUUCAGUUGGGCACUCUAAGGUGACUGCCGGUGACAAACCGGAGGAAGGUGGGGAUGACGUCAAAUCAUCAUGCCCCUUAUGACCUGGGCUACACACGUGCUACAAUGGAUGGUACNAAGGGCUGCAAGACCGCGAGGUUUAGCCNAUCCCAUAAAACCAUUCUCAGUUCGGAUUGCAGGCUGCAACUCGCCUGCAUGAAGCCGGAAUCNCUAGUAAUCGCGGAUCANCAUGCCGCGGUGA